CCUACGGGAGGCAGCAGUGAGGAAUAUUGGUCAAUGGCCGUAAGGCUGAACCAGCCAAGUCGCGUGAAGGAAGGAGGCUCUAUGGGUUGUAAACUUCUUUUAUAGGGGAAUCAAGGUCUCCACGUGUGGAUCUUUGCAUGUACCCUUUGAUUAAGCAUCGGCUAACGCCGUGCCAGCAGCCGCGGUAAUACGGAGGAUCCGAGCGUUAUCCGGAUUUAUUGGGUUUAAAGGGUGCGUAGGUUGUUUUUUAAGUCAGCGGUGAAAGUUUGUGGCGCAACCAGAAAAUUGCCGUUGAAACUGGAAGACUUGAGUGUGUUUGAGGUAGGCGGAAUGCGUGGUGUAGCGGUGAAAUGCAUAGAUAUCACGCAGAACUCCGAUUGCGAAGGCAGCUUACUAAGCCAUAACUGACACUGAAGCACGAAAGCGUGGGGAUCAAACAGGAUUAGAUACCCUUGUAGUC
This 460-nucleotide ribosomal RNA is filed under the name uncultured bacterium. RNAcentral's name for it is "partial 16S ribosomal RNA". It matches the Rfam family "Bacterial small subunit ribosomal RNA", at positions 338 to 795 of the family's 1533-position model. The record is from RNAcentral.